UUACCCAAUCCUGAUACAGGGAGGUAGUGACAAGAAAUAAAAUGUAAGUACCAACUGGUAUUUUACUAUUGGAAUGAGUAGAAUUUAAAUCUCUUUUCGACUAUCAAUUGGAGGGCAAGUCUGGUGCCAGCAGCCGCGGUAAUUCCAGCUCCAAUAGCGUAUAUUAAAGUUGUUGCGGUUAAAAAGCUCGUAGUUGGAUUUCUGUUAGGGACGACCGGUCCGCACUAUGUGCGUGUAUCUGGUUCGGCCUUGGCAUCCUCCUGGGGAACGGUGCUGCGCUUGAUUGCGAGGUCCGGUAUUCAGGACUUUUACUUUGAGGAAAUUAGAGUGUUUACGGCAGGCAAUCGCCUUGAAUACAUUAGCAUGGCAUAAUAAAAUAGGACCUCGGGUCUAUUUUGUUGGUUUCUAGAUCUGAGGUAAUGAUUAAUAGGGAUAAUUGGGGGCACUCGUAUUAACACGUCAGAGGUGAAAUUCUUGGAUUGUGUUACGACGAACUACUGCGAAAGCAUUUGCCAAGGAUGUUUUCAUUGAUCAAGAACGAAAGUGCGGGGAUCGAAGACGAUUAGAUACCGUCGUAGUCUGCACCAUAAACUAUGCCAACUAGAGAUUGGAGGUCGUUCUUUUUAUGACUCCUUCAGCACCUUAUGAGAAAUCAAAGUCUUUGGGUUCCGGGGGGAGUAUGGUCGCAAGGCUGAAACUUAAAGGAAUUGACGGAAGGGCACCACCAGGAGUGGAGCCUGCGGCUUAAUUUGACUCAACACGGGAAAACUUACCAGGUCCAGACAUAG
Molecule: ribosomal RNA, 788 nt
Filed under: uncultured marine Syndiniales
Lineage: Eukaryota; Dinophyceae; Syndiniales
Description: SSU rRNA
Rfam family: Eukaryotic small subunit ribosomal RNA
Source: RNAcentral